AUUGAACGCUGGCGGCAGGCCUAACACAUGCAAGUCGAACGCGUGGCGGACGGGUGAGUAAUGUCAGGGCGAAUGCCAGCUGGAGGGGGGUAACUGCUGGAAACGGUAGCUAAUACCGCAUACCAUCAGAUGUUCCCAGAUGGGUUUAGCUAGUUGGUGGGGUAACGGCUCACCAAGGCGACGAUCCCUAGCUGGUCUGAGAGGAUGACCAGCCACACUGGAACUGGUACACGGUCCAGCCUCCUACGGGAGGCAGCAGUGGGGAAUAUUGGACAAUGGGGGCAAGCCUGAUGCAGCAAUGCCGCGUGUAUGAAGAAGGCCUUCGGGUUGUAAAGUACUUUCAGCAGGGAGGCGUUACCCGCAGAAGAAGCACCGGCUAACUCCGUGCCAGCAGCCGCGGUAAUUC
RNAcentral lists this ribosomal RNA (406 nucleotides) under uncultured bacterium. RNAcentral's name for it is "partial 16S ribosomal RNA". It matches the Rfam family "Bacterial small subunit ribosomal RNA", at positions 30 to 526 of the family's 1533-position model. The record is from RNAcentral.